RNAcentral lists this ribosomal RNA (493 nucleotides) under uncultured bacterium. RNAcentral describes it as "partial 16S ribosomal RNA". It matches the Rfam family "Bacterial small subunit ribosomal RNA", at positions 28 to 506 of the family's 1533-position model. The record is from RNAcentral.
GACGAACGCUGGCGGCGUGCUUAACACAUGCAAGUCGAACGGAAAGGCCUGCUUUCCCUUGUGGUUUGCGGGUACUCGAGUGGCGAACGGGUGAGUAACACGUGAGUGAUCUGCCCCCAACUUGGGUAUAAGCCUGGGAAACUGGGUCUAAUUCCCGAUAGGACUGCAGGGUGGUGCCUGUGGUGGAAAACGAUUUUCUAGUGGUUGGGGAUGAGCUCGCGGCCUAUCAGCUUGUUGGUGGGGUAAUGGCCUACCAAGGCGGCGACGGGUAGCCGGCCUGGGAGGGUGGAAGGCCAAAUUGGGAAGGGGCUACGGCCCAGACGCCUACGGGAGGCAGCAGUGGGGAAUAUUGCACAAUGGGCGGAAGCCGGAUGCAGCGACGCCGCGUGGGGGAUGACGGCCUUCGGGUUGUAAACUCCUUUCGACCGCGAGGAAGCCACCUGGUGGGAAGGGUGGUGACGGUAGUGGUAGAAGAAGCACCGGCUAACUACGU